This 504-nucleotide ribosomal RNA is filed under the name uncultured bacterium. RNAcentral describes it as "partial 16S ribosomal RNA". It matches the Rfam family "Bacterial small subunit ribosomal RNA", at positions 29 to 507 of the family's 1533-position model. The record is from RNAcentral.
ACGAACGCUGGCGGCGUGCCUCAUCCAUGCAAGUAGAACGCACAGUUUAUACCGUAGCUUGCUACACCAUAGACUGUGAGUUGCGAACGGGUGAGUAACGCGUAGGUAACCUGCCUGGUAGCGGGGGAUAACUAUUGGAAACGAUAGCUAAUACCGCAUAAUAUUGAUUAUUGCAUGAUAAUUGAUUGAAAGAUGCUAUUGCAUCACUACCAGAUGGACCUGCGUUGUAUUAGCUAGUAGGUGAGGUAACGGCUCACCUAGGCGACGAUACAUAGCCGACCUGAGAGGGUGAUCGGCCACACUGGGACUGAGACACGGCCCAGACUCCUACGGGAGGCAGCAGUAGGGAAUCUUCGGCAAUGGACGAAAGUCUGACCGAGCAACGCCGCGUGAGUGAAGAAGGUUUUCGGAUCGUAAAGCUCUGUUGUAAGAGAAGAACGGGUGUGAGAGUGGAAAGUUCACACUGUGACGGUAGCUUACCAGAAAGGGACGGCUAACUACGUG